Molecule: RNA transcript, 830 nt
Organism: Lycium barbarum (goji berry)
Lineage: Eukaryota; Viridiplantae; Streptophyta; Magnoliopsida; Solanales; Solanaceae
Gene name: heat shock factor-binding protein-like
Exons: 4
Source: RefSeq, a predicted model, not a curated record
UAAAAUUCCUCUUUUUUUUUUCAAGCUAAAGGAGGACUCGGGUUGAAGGAAUUUGUGGUUAUUGAGCACAUUAAGGGAUGGGCAUGAUGGAGAUAAUUCAAAACAAAGCACUGCUGAUAUGACUGUGUUUGUCCAGAAUCUUCUUCAGCAAAUGCAAACCAGAUUUCAGACAAUGUCUGAAUCAGUUAUCUCAAAAAAUAUCCUUUCUUUAAUUUGAUGUUCCCUAUCUGAUUCAAUAGUUGCUAACUUUAGUGUCAUAUAAAAUGCAUUUACUUAUAUGUAGCAUUUAAUAGAACUCUGAAUUCAAGAAUGUGUAUACUGCGCUCUUGGUUCUGAGGCUCUUGAGUGGCUCAUCGUUUACUGUUUCAAUUUUGUCUUUAUAUUGUAAAUGGCGUCUACCUCUCUAUUAUUAGAUCAAGCUUGAACAAAGUAUGUUUAGUCCUUGACAAAGCUGCACUUGACGAGAUGGGAAACCGGAUUGAUGAACUUGAACAGAGCAUCAAUGAUUUGAGAGGUGAAAUGGGUCAAGAUGGUGCUCCAUCACCUUCAGCAUCUUUGAAACCGAAAGAGGAACCGAAGACAACGGAUGAUAGUGCAUAAGCAAAUGAUGAUACUUCAAGUUGGCUUUGGAGCCAAUUGGCCAUGUUUGUUACAAUUGCUUAGCUUUGAAAGUCUUGUCCCAUUAUGUCUAUUAUGAAAUUUGGUUUGUAAUAUGAUACAUAUACUAUGUACAUGGUGUCUUGGGUUGAAUGAUUUUGACCUCCGCAGGUAGAAUGAUUUUGACCUGUGUUAUUGGUCAUUGUUGAGGUUAUCAAAAUAUGCUUUUACAA